AACGAACGCUGGCGGCAUGCCUAACACAUGCAAGUCGAACGAGACCUUCGGGUCUAGUGGCGCACGGGUGCGUAACGCGUGGGAACCUGCCCUUAGGUUCGGAAUAACUCCCCGAAAGGGGUGCUAAUACCGGAUAAGGUCUUCGGACCAAAGAUUUAUCGCCUUUGGAUGGGCCCGCGUUGGAUUAGCUAGUUGGUAGGGUAAAAGCCUACCAAGGCGAGGAUCCAUAGCUGGUGUGAGAGGAUGAUAAGCCACACUGGGACUGAGACACGGCCCAGACUCCUACGGGAGGCAGCAGUGGGGAAUAUUGGACAAUGGGCGAAAGCCUGAUCCAGCAAUGCCGCGUGAGUGAUGAAGGCCUUAGGGUUGUAAAGCUCUUUUACCCGGGAUGAUAAUGACAGUACCGGGAGAAUAAGCACCGGCUAACUCCGUG
RNAcentral lists this ribosomal RNA (433 nucleotides) under uncultured bacterium. Its description in RNAcentral is "partial 16S ribosomal RNA". It matches the Rfam family "Bacterial small subunit ribosomal RNA", at positions 29 to 507 of the family's 1533-position model. The record is from RNAcentral.